RNAcentral lists this long non-coding RNA (926 nucleotides) under Ananas comosus (pineapple). Its description in RNAcentral is "long non-coding RNA (ACOM_LNC006046)". The record is from RNAcentral. Lineage: Eukaryota; Viridiplantae; Streptophyta; Magnoliopsida; Poales; Bromeliaceae.
CUCAGUUUCACUAUUAUUUAUUCCGCUAAUAUAUUAUCGCAGCGCGAAGCUCCAAACGUCCUGCGACUCCCCUACCUUUUUCUCGCAUCUUAAUUCUCUCGAAAGGGAGAUCGAUCGAGCGUCGGAGGAAGGAGAGGCUUCCUCUCCCUCCCCCCGAAGAUCGUGAAGCCCUAACCGUUCUCUNUUUGUAUAUAAUUUAACGAAAUAUUAACGAAAAAGCUUCCGAAAAGAUAAAAAUAAAACCACAGGGGGCAAAUUGAUACGUUUUAAACUACAGGGUAGUAAAGUGAGAAUGCAUGAAACCACAGGGUGGGUUUUUGAAGUUUUCCCGGAACUUGGUUUCCAAAUUUCUAUAGAUACUUGAGAUUUAUUACUGGCGGAAAAAUAACUUCGGUGCUAGGCAAGCGUUCUUCAACCAAUGUAUGUACAAAAAAGUGAAUUAGAUUACACCAUUUGACAAAAGAUUAUGGUCCUAUUGUUAUAUUGCACUAAUUUUAUAUAAUUUAUAAUUUUUUUUUAAAAAAUACUAAAUUUGUUUUAAAAGAAUAAAAAAUUGAGAACAAUUUCGAGGACUACGAGCGCAAUUAAGCAAAGCCAAUUUUACUUCUAUCCAGUUGAGAAAAAAUUCUAGAAUGCAACGGGUAUAGCGUUAGCAUUACUGAUUACUCCCUCGAACACGAAGUACCUUUGGAUCUACGUCUUGGUUUAACCUCAGUUUCACUAUUAUUUACUCCGCUAAUAUAUUAUCACAGCGCGAAGCUCCCAAACGUCCUGCGACUCCCCUACCUUUUUCUCGCAACUUAAUUCUCUCGAAAGGGAGAUCGAUCGAGCGUCGGAGGAAGGAGAGGCUUCCUCUCCCUCCCCCCGAAGAUCGUGAAGCCCUAACCGUUCUCUUCGAUCGCUUCCAUGGAGGAGACGGAUCCCAG